This 465-nucleotide ribosomal RNA is filed under the name Vreelandella stevensii. RNAcentral describes it as "partial 16S ribosomal RNA". It matches the Rfam family "Bacterial small subunit ribosomal RNA", at positions 338 to 795 of the family's 1533-position model. Lineage: Bacteria; Pseudomonadati; Pseudomonadota; Gammaproteobacteria; Oceanospirillales; Halomonadaceae. The record is from RNAcentral.
CCUACGGGUGGCAGCAGUGGCGAAUAUUGGACAAUGGGGGCAACCCUGAUCCAGCCAUGCCGCGUGUGUGAAGAAGGCCCUCGGGUUGUAAAGCACUUUCAGUGAGGAAGAACGCCUGGUGGUUAAUACCCAUCAGGAAAGACAUCACUCACAGAAGAAGCACCGGCUAACUCCGUGCCAGCAGCCGCGGUAAUACGGAGGGUGCGAGCGUUAAUCGGAAUUACUGGGCGUAAAGCGCGCGUAGGUGGCUUGAUAAGCCGGUUGUGAAAGCCCCGGGCUCAACCUGGGAACGGCAUCCGGAACUGUCAAGCUAGAGUGCAGGAGAGGAAGGUAGAAUUCCCGGUGUAGCGGUGAAAUGCGUAGAGAUCGGGAGGAAUACCAGUGGCGAAGGCGGCCUUCUGGACUGACACUGACACUGAGGUGCGAAAGCGUCGGUAGCAAACAGGAUUAGAUACCCCGGUAGUC